This 269-nucleotide long non-coding RNA is filed under the name Apis mellifera (honey bee). RNAcentral's name for it is "uncharacterized LOC102656752, transcript variant X1". Lineage: Eukaryota; Metazoa; Arthropoda; Insecta; Hymenoptera; Apidae. The record is from RNAcentral.
GUCAGUCUUCUGUGGAAAAUCAUCAUGACGGUUUACGUGAUUGUGACUUUUAGUGAUUCAAUUAUAUCAAAUUGUGAGUUCGCGUUCGUGUCAUAUUCAACAUGUUUCGACUUGUCGCCAAAUUGACAAGCACUUCUUUCUAUUCGUGAUUCGAGAAUCGAAAUUGUGACGUGUUACAUCGAUAGACUAUCGAUAUUCAUGUUCCUAUGUUUGAUGACUAUCUUCGCAAUGGCAUAGAUCACGAUAGUAUAAAUUUUUUAUAUAGAUUG